UACCGUGAAAAAAUUAGAGUGUUCAAAGCAGGCAGAUUCAAUUUUCUGCCACCGAAUACAUUAGCAUGGGAUAAUGGAAUAGGACCCUGUCCUCCUAUUUUCAGUUGGUUUUGGCAGCGCGAGGACUAGGGUAAUGAUUAAUAGGGAUAGUUGGGGGCAUUAAUAUUUAAUUGUCAGAGGUGAAAUUCUUGGAUUUAUGAAAGAUUAACUUCUGCGAAAGCAUCUGCCAAGGAUGUUUUCAUUAAUCAAGAACGAAAGUUAGGGGAUCGAAGACGAUCAGAUACCGUCGUAGUCUUAACCAUAAACGAUGCCGACCAGCGAUUAGGAGACGUUGAAUACAAAACACCACCACCGGCGCGGUCGUCCUUGGCGUUCGUGUUCACGCACGAGCACGAGGGCGGUUUAAGCCCGGUGGCACCGGUGAAUGACUCC
This 432-nucleotide ribosomal RNA is filed under the name Acanthamoeba sp. AG-2012. RNAcentral describes it as "SSU rRNA". The stretch from base 1 to 381 matches the Rfam family "Eukaryotic small subunit ribosomal RNA", at positions 753 to 1114 of the family's 1831-position model. The record is from RNAcentral. Lineage: Eukaryota; Discosea; Longamoebia; Acanthamoebidae.